This is a long non-coding RNA of Spea bombifrons (plains spadefoot toad), 188 nucleotides long. RefSeq lists it as uncharacterized. The record is from RefSeq and is a predicted model, not a curated record. Lineage: Eukaryota; Metazoa; Chordata; Amphibia; Anura; Pelobatidae. The transcript is spliced from 2 exons.
AGGAGUCUAACACGAAGCCAUUGUUUGGCUGGCUGACCAUCCUUUGGAGCCCACAGCAGCUGGUCCUUAGUGAAUAAACCCAAAGUCAUACAUUUACCUUAACACUGUUCAGUAUAUUAAAAGUAGCUUGGAAAAAAAAUCAAGUUUAGAAACCAGAAUGAGCAUGGAUUUAAAUCUGGAUCACAUAA